GUAAAACUCCAUGGUGUAUUCGUACCACAUUUUCUUUAUCUAUUGAGGGACACAUAGUCUGAUUCCAUAGUUUGGCUCUUGUAAGUUGUGCUGCUAUAAACACAGGUACGCAACUAUCACUGUAGUAUGGUGACUUCAGUUCUUCAGGGUACACACCCAGGGGUGCACACCAUUAUUUUAGACAGAAGACUCUGCUAUAUCUCCUCAUCUCUUUGUACAUUCAUUUUUCCGCUCCAGAUAAUCUCCUCCUGUCUACAGGUUUAUUUCUGAAACAUGUCAGGAAAAACAUGCCCACACACUUGAUCUGCUGUCCUUUCCAAAAUGUUUUGUAGAUUCUUUGGGGGAGGGGGUAGGUUAGCUUCUUUCUGGCCAGAAACUAGGUAGUUUUGUUAUGACAGUAAACGUACCCUAUUUUUUGUUUUAUUUUUGGUACUGAGGGUUAUACCCAGUGGUACUCUACCAAUAAGCUACACCCCCACCCCUUUUUUUUUUUUUUAUUCUGAG
This 504-nucleotide long non-coding RNA is filed under the name Marmota monax (woodchuck). The record is from RNAcentral. Lineage: Eukaryota; Metazoa; Chordata; Mammalia; Rodentia; Sciuridae.